RNAcentral lists this ribosomal RNA (465 nucleotides) under uncultured bacterium. Its description in RNAcentral is "partial 16S ribosomal RNA". It matches the Rfam family "Bacterial small subunit ribosomal RNA", at positions 28 to 507 of the family's 1533-position model. The record is from RNAcentral.
GAUGAACGCUGGCGGCGUGCUUAACACAUGCAAGUCGAACGAUGAAGCCCAGCUUGCUGGGUGGAUUAGUGGCGAACGGGUGAGUAACACGUGAGUAACCUGCCCUUAACUCUGGGAUAAGCCUGGGAAACUGGGUCUAAUACCGGAUAGGAGCGUCCACCGCAUGGUGGGUGUUGGAAAGAUUUAUCGGUUUUGGAUGGACUCGCGGCCUAUCAGCUUGUUGGUGAGGUAAUGGCUCACCAAGGCGACGACGGGUAGCCGGCCUGAGAGGGUGACCGGCCACACUGGGACCGAGACACGGCCCAGACUCCUACGGGAGGCAGCAGUGGGGAAUAUUGCACAAUGGGCGCAAGCCUGAUGCAGCGACGCCGCGUGAGGGAUGACGGCCUUCGGGUUGUAAACCUCUUUCAGUAGGGAAGAAGCGAAAGUGACGGUACCUGCAGAAGAAGCACCGGCUACUACGUG